This is a long non-coding RNA of Triticum dicoccoides, 499 nucleotides long. RefSeq lists it as uncharacterized. The record is from RefSeq and is a predicted model, not a curated record. The transcript is spliced from 4 exons. NCBI's taxonomy places the organism in Eukaryota, Viridiplantae, Streptophyta, Magnoliopsida, Poales, Poaceae.
AGUGCUCGCCCUUCUUCUGUGCCAUAAAGCCCCUCGGUCGAAACUUGCAAAUCAAAAUUGCCGACCCUGUCAAUCUCGCUGGAACGACGUCUAGCUCGUUGUGCUCCACUCACUCUAACGGCAUAUCUCAUAACUAAAGCUAUGAACAAGUGCUUCAGUUAUGCUGGUGGCAAUACAUUGCUUGAGGUGACCUCGUGUGCAAGAUUAUCCCCAUGGAGGGCGCUGGCACGGAGACAUUUGCUCACAUCAGUACUAUGAGCAGCCUGGUUGGGUGGUGACGUUUCCGAGUGGCCAAGCAAGAGCUUUUUUUUGGUCUACACCUAUGCAGUGGUGACUUCUGCUACAAUGUGCAUCAACACCAGAACCAUGUUCCUGAUCAUGGACGCUGUUGUGUCCCUCACCGGCUCUCUCCUUGCCAUCACCGACAGGGUUGUGCAGGCCACUACUCGCGCAACUACUUUGCAGUGUGGAGCAUGCCAUCGAGAUAGACCAAAAGAAG